RNAcentral lists this ribosomal RNA (450 nucleotides) under uncultured bacterium. Its description in RNAcentral is "partial 16S ribosomal RNA". It matches the Rfam family "Bacterial small subunit ribosomal RNA", at positions 354 to 796 of the family's 1533-position model. The record is from RNAcentral.
GUGGGGAAUAUUGGACAAUGGGCGAAAGCCUGAUCCAGCCAUGCCGCGUGUGUGAAGAAGGUCUUCGGAUUGUAAAGCACUUUAAGUUGGGAGGAAGGGCAGUAAGUUAAUACCUUGCUGUUUUGACGUUACCGACAGAAUAAGCACCGGCUAACUUCGUGCCAGCAGCCGCGGUAAUACGAAGGGUGCAAGCGUUAAUCGUAAUUACUGGGCGUAAAGCGCGCGUAGGUGGUUUUGUAAGUUGGAGGUGAAAUCCCCGGGCUCAACCUGGGAACUGCCUCCAAAACUGCAUGACUAGAGUACGGUAGAGGGUAGUGGAAUUUCCUGUGUAGCGGUGAAAUGCGUAGAUAUAGGAAGGAACACCAGUGGCGAAGGCGACUACCUGGACUGAUACUGACACUGAGGUGCGAAAGCGUGGGGAGCAAACAGGAUUAGAAACCCUGGUAGUCC